Molecule: ribosomal RNA, 492 nt
Filed under: Cladosporium cladosporioides
Lineage: Eukaryota; Fungi; Ascomycota; Dothideomycetes; Cladosporiales; Cladosporiaceae
Description: eukaryotic LSU rRNA
Rfam family: 5.8S ribosomal RNA (bases 136-289)
Source: RNAcentral
CCGGGAUGUUCAUAACCCUUUGUUGUCCGACUCUGUUGCCUCCGGGGCGACCCUGCCUUCGGGCGGGGGCUCCGGGUGGACACUUCAAACUCUUGCGUAACUUUGCAGUCUGAGUAAACUUAAUUAAUAAAUUAAAACUUUUAACAACGGAUCUCUUGGUUCUGGCAUCGAUGAAGAACGCAGCGAAAUGCGAUAAGUAAUGUGAAUUGCAGAAUUCAGUGAAUCAUCGAAUCUUUGAACGCACAUUGCGCCCCCUGGUAUUCCGGGGGGCAUGCCUGUUCGAGCGUCAUUUCACCACUCAAGCCUCGCUUGGUAUUGGGCAACGCGGUCCGCCGCGUGCCUCAAAUCGACCGGCUGGGUCUUCUGUCCCCUAAGCGUUGUGGAAACUAUUCGCUAAAGGGUGUUCGGGAGGCUACGCCGUAAAACAACCCCAUUUCUAAGGUUGACCUCGGAUCAGGUAGGGAUACCCGCUGAACUUAAGCAUAUCAAUAA